AGCACCAAAAUGAAAUUCCUGUCAUUCAAAAUCACUCUUUGGUUAAAUAGAUGAAAUUCCCUAACCAUUUACAAUAUUUAUUUUGAUUGAUAUAUUUAAUUAGAUAGGAAAAAGACUUAAGUCAUCCGAGAAUUACCCACAGAAUGACACACGUCUGAUAAUAUUUCAGACUCUUCAGGAAGUUUCUGCACUCUUUUCAUAGAGGAACUCGAACAAGCAGAAAAUGAUUGAGAGAGUCUGGCAGCCUUUUUAUUGGCCCUUUAUUUUCAUUCCAUGCAGUUUUGCACUCUUAAGAGGAUGAGAAAUGGGGGACCCAGGGAUCAGCAAAAGCAUUAGGAGAUGGAAGAAAGCAAAAAAGGAGCAUUCUUCCUUGCCUCCCUUUCUCAAAGGCUAUGGCGGAUUUUAAAAUUGGAUAACACAUGGCAGUCAGAGAUCAUGAAAUAAACCAGCCACGUCAGCACUCAGAUAGAUUUCACUUUAAGUCUGAGUGUGCAGUAUGGACAUGAUACAAAGUACACAGUUCAUACACAUGGAAAUAAAUGCAUGCAGACAAAAUUUGUUGGUUUGUCUAACUAGGACGGGCCAGUUCAUGGUAACAGAGAAGGUCACAAUACUGCAGCUCACCGAGCUAAAUCAUUGCACCAGUAGACAGUGUGGUUAGCAUGACCGCUUGGUUCCAAGAAGUCAAGGCUAAAUCAACAAUCAACUGUUCACCACCUAAGAUCCACCAUGUCCUUCUUUGUAUUAAAUACAGGAGCUGAAAAUCUGGAAACUACACUACGAGAGAAACUGAUGGAGAGAGGGAAACAUGGAACAGUUCUUAUUCCUCAUCAUAGCUGCUUGAUCUGCAGCCAGAGCAGAGAAUCAUGGGAUUUCUAUGGCAAAACUGACAGACAUUUGAGCUGGAUUUUCCCAUCCAUCCACAAGCAACAAUAAAAUUGAAGGGGUUGUAAUAUGCUGAGUUAGCAAGAAACAUCUGGACAAAGAGUGCUUACAGAAGCUGUGACUCAACCAUGGCUUCAACUGAGCAACCCCCACAUUACAGAUUGUGCCGAAUAUGUGAAGGAGUUCAUCCUACUUACAGUAUUCAUGUGCAUGACUGAAUAAUUCUGUGUAAAUGAUUGUGGUUGGUUGAACUGCUGCUGUAAUAAUAAAGAAUGUCCUGUGCUCAUCCCAGUACCCUUACUGACAA
Molecule: long non-coding RNA, 1192 nt
Organism: Tachysurus fulvidraco (yellow catfish)
Lineage: Eukaryota; Metazoa; Chordata; Actinopteri; Siluriformes; Bagridae
Exons: 2
Source: RefSeq, a predicted model, not a curated record